This 497-nucleotide ribosomal RNA is filed under the name uncultured bacterium. Its description in RNAcentral is "partial 16S ribosomal RNA". It matches the Rfam family "Bacterial small subunit ribosomal RNA", at positions 28 to 507 of the family's 1533-position model. The record is from RNAcentral.
GACGAACGCUGGCGGCGUGCCUAAUACAUGCAAGUUGAGCGCUGAGGGUUGGUACUUGUACCGACUGGAUGAGCAGCGAACGGGUGAGUAACGCGUGGGGAAUCUGCCUUUGAGCGGGGGACAACAUUUGGAAACGAAUGCUAAUACCGCAUAAAAACUUUAAACACAAGUUUUAAGUUUGAAAGAUGCAAUUGCAUCACUCAAAGAUGAUCCCGCGUUGUAUUAGCUAGUUGGUGAGGUAAAGGCCCACCAAGGCGAUGAUACAUAGCCGACCUGAGAGGGGGAUCGGCCACAUUGGGACUGAGACACGGCCCAAACUCCUACGGGAGGCAGCAGUAGGGAAUCUUCGGCAAUGGACGAAAGUCUGACCGAGCAACGCCGCGUGAGUGAAGAAGGUUUUCGGAUCGUAAAACUCUGUUGGUAGAGAAGAACGUUGGUGAGAGUGGAAAGCUCAUCAAGUGACGGUAACUACCCAGAAAGGGACGGCUAACUACGUG